RNAcentral lists this ribosomal RNA (2930 nucleotides) under Escherichia coli. Its description in RNAcentral is "bacterial LSU rRNA". It matches the Rfam family "Bacterial large subunit ribosomal RNA". Lineage: Bacteria; Pseudomonadati; Pseudomonadota; Gammaproteobacteria; Enterobacterales; Enterobacteriaceae. The record is from RNAcentral.
GGGUUGUGAGGUUAAGCGACUAAGCGUACACGGUGGAUGCCCUGGCAGUCAGAGGCGAUGAAGGACGUGCUAAUCUGCGAUAAGCGUCGGUAAGGUGAUAUGAACCGUUAUAACCGGCGAUUUCCGAAUGGGGAAACCCAGUGUGUUUCGACACACUAUCAUUAACUGAAUCCAUAGGUUAAUGAGGCGAACCGGGGGAACUGAAACAUCUAAGUACCCCGAGGAAAAGAAAUCAACCGAGAUUCCCCCAGUAGCGGCGAGCGAACGGGGAGGAGCCCAGAGCCUGAAUCAGUGUGUGUGUUAGUGGAAGCGUCUGGAAAGGCGCGCGAUACAGGGUGACAGCCCCGUACACAAAAAUGCACAUACUGUGAGCUCGAUGAGUAGGGCGGGACACGUGGUAUCCUGUCUGAAUAUGGGGGGACCAUCCUCCAAGGCUAAAUACUCCUGACUGACCGAUAGUGAACCAGUACCGUGAGGGAAAGGCGAAAAGAACCCCGGCGAGGGGAGUGAAAAAGAACCUGAAACCGUGUACGUACAAGCAGUGGGAGCACGCUUAGGCGUGUGACUGCGUACCUUUUGUAUAAUGGGUCAGCGACUUAUAUUCUGUAGCAAGGUUAACCGAAUAGGGGAGCCGAAGGGAAACCGAGUCUUAACUGGGCGUUAAGUUGCAGGGUAUAGACCCGAAACCCGGUGAUCUAGCCAUGGGCAGGUUGAAGGUUGGGUAACACUAACUGGAGGACCGAACCGACUAAUGUUGAAAAAUUAGCGGAUGACUUGUGGCUGGGGGUGAAAGGCCAAUCAAACCGGGAGAUAGCUGGUUCUCCCCGAAAGCUAUUUAGGUAGCGCCUCGUGAAUUCAUCUCCGGGGGUAGAGCACUGUUUCGGCAAGGGGGUCAUCCCGACUUACCAACCCGAUGCAAACUGCGAAUACCGGAGAAUGUUAUCACGGGAGACACACGGCGGGUGCUAACGUCCGUCGUGAAGAGGGAAACAACCCAGACCGCCAGCUAAGGUCCCAAAGUCAUGGUUAAGUGGGAAACGAUGUGGGAAGGCCCAGACAGCCAGGAUGUUGGCUUAGAAGCAGCCAUCAUUUAAAGAAAGCGUAAUAGCUCACUGGUCGAGUCGGCCUGCGCGGAAGAUGUAACGGGGCUAAACCAUGCACCGAAGCUGCGGCAGCGACGCUUAUGCGUUGUUGGGUAGGGGAGCGUUCUGUAAGCCUGUGAAGGUGUGCUGUGAGGCAUGCUGGAGGUAUCAGAAGUGCGAAUGCUGACAUAAGUAACGAUAAAGCGGGUGAAAAGCCCGCUCGCCGGAAGACCAAGGGUUCCUGUCCAACGUUAAUCGGGGCAGGGUGAGUCGACCCCUAAGGCGAGGCCGAAAGGCGUAGUCGAUGGGAAACAGGUUAAUAUUCCUGUACUUGGUGUUACUGCGAAGGGGGGACGGAGAAGGCUAUGUUGGCCGGGCGACGGUUGUCCCGGUUUAAGCGUGUAGGCUGGUUUUCCAGGCAAAUCCGGAAAAUCAAGGCUGAGGCGUGAUGACGAGGCACUACGGUGCUGAAGCAACAAAUGCCCUGCUUCCAGGAAAAGCCUCUAAGCAUCAGGUAACAUCAAAUCGUACCCCAAACCGACACAGGUGGUCAGGUAGAGAAUACCAAGGCGCUUGAGAGAACUCGGGUGAAGGAACUAGGCAAAAUGGUGCCGUAACUUCGGGAGAAGGCACGCUGAUAUGUAGGUGAAGCGACUUGCUCGUGGAGCUGAAAUCAGUCGAAGAUACCAGCUGGCUGCAACUGUUUAUUAAAAACACAGCACUGUGCAAACACGAAAGUGGACGUAUACGGUGUGACGCCUGCCCGGUGCCGGAAGGUUAAUUGAUGGGGUCAGCGCAAGCGAAGCUCUUGAUCGAAGCCCCGGUAAACGGCGGCCGUAACUAUAACGGUCCUAAGGUAGCGAAAUUCCUUGUCGGGUAAGUUCCGACCUGCACGAAUGGCGUAAUGAUGGCCAGGCUGUCUCCACCCGAGACUCAGUGAAAUUGAACUCGCUGUGAAGAUGCAGUGUACCCGCGGCAAGACGGAAAGACCCCGUGAACCUUUACUAUAGCUUGACACUGAACAUUGAGCCUUGAUGUGUAGGAUAGGUGGGAGGCUUAGAAGUGUGGACGCCAGUCUGCAUGGAGCCGACCUUGAAAUACCACCCUUUAAUGUUUGAUGUUCUAACGUUGACCCGUAAUCCGGGUUGCGGACAGUGUCUGGUGGGUAGUUUGACUGGGGCGGUCUCCUCCUAAAGAGUAACGGAGGAGCACGAAGGUUGGCUAAUCCUGGUCGGACAUCAGGAGGUUAGUGCAAUGGCAUAAGCCAGCUUGACUGCGAGCGUGACGGCGCGAGCAGGUGCGAAAGCAGGUCAUAGUGAUCCGGUGGUUCUGAAUGGAAGGGCCAUCGCUCAACGGAUAAAAGGUACUCCGGGGAUAACAGGCUGAUACCGCCCAAGAGUUCAUAUCGACGGCGGUGUUUGGCACCUCGAUGUCGGCUCAUCACAUCCUGGGGCUGAAGUAGGUCCCAAGGGUAUGGCUGUUCGCCAUUUAAAGUGGUACGCGAGCUGGGUUUAGAACGUCGUGAGACAGUUCGGUCCCUAUCUGCCGUGGGCGCUGGAGAACUGAGGGGGGCUGCUCCUAGUACGAGAGGACCGGAGUGGACGCAUCACUGGUGUUCGGGUUGUCAUGCCAAUGGCACUGCCCGGUAGCUAAAUGCGGAAGAGAUAAGUGCUGAAAGCAUCUAAGCACGAAACUUGCCCCGAGAUGAGUUCUCCCUGACUCCUUGAGAGUCCUGAAGGAACGUUGAAGACGACGACGUUGAUAGGCCGGGUGUGUAAGCGCAGCGAUGCGUUGAGCUAACCGGUACUAAUGAACCGUGAGGCUUAACCUUACAACGCCGAAGCUGUU